ACUCAAAUGAAUUGACGGGGAGGCGCACAAGCAGUGGAGCGUGUGGUUUAAUUCGAUUCAAAGCGAAAAACCUCACCAGGACUUGACAUGUAGCUGCAAGCGCACGGAAACGUGUGACCUUCGAGGGUGCUACACAGAUGCUGCAUGGCUGUCGUCAGCUCGUGGCGUGAGCUGUAUCAUUAAGUUGAGUAACGAGCGCAACCCGCAUUGCAUGUUAAAUAGUUCAUGCAAAACUGCCUCAUUUUUUGAGGAGGAAGGCGCGGAUGACGUCAAGUCAGCACGGCUCUUACGUCCUGGGCUACACACACCCUACAAUGGCGAAUAACAACGAGCUGCAAACGGGUAACCGUAAGCUAAUCUCUAAAAUUUCGCCUCAGUUCAGAUUGAGGUCUGAAACCCGACCUCAUGAAGGAGGAAUUGCUAGUAAUCGCGAAUCAGCAGGUCGCGGUGAAUACGUUCUCGCCUCUUGUACACACCGCCCGU
Molecule: ribosomal RNA, 483 nt
Filed under: uncultured bacterium
Lineage: Bacteria
Description: partial 16S ribosomal RNA
Rfam family: Bacterial small subunit ribosomal RNA
Source: RNAcentral